AGGGAGGGUGGCAAGAGGAUGGAGCCAGGCUCUUCUCGGUGGAGCUAAACAAUAGAACAAGAGGCAACGGGCAGAAACUGAGGCACAGGAGGCUCCACCUGAAUAAGAGGAAGAAUU
Non-coding RNA from Sturnus vulgaris (Common starling), 117 nucleotides. The record is from RefSeq and is a predicted model, not a curated record. Lineage: Eukaryota; Metazoa; Chordata; Aves; Passeriformes; Sturnidae.